Molecule: unclassified non-coding RNA, 287 nt
Filed under: Hevea brasiliensis (rubber tree)
Lineage: Eukaryota; Viridiplantae; Streptophyta; Magnoliopsida; Malpighiales; Euphorbiaceae
Source: RNAcentral
CGCAGAUCAGAACUCAGGAGUUAGAUGCUUGGAGCCAUUUAGGUGGUACAAUACAAAAUGGACAACAGAUGGUACAACGAUGAACUGGAAAGAAAUGGCCAAUACAAAAGUCAACAAGAUAAGGAGCAGCUAAGCAAAAGUGUGAUUACCAGGAUUCUCUAAUCGAGGAUUUGGUGGAAGAUUUUCGCUUGCCAAUUAGUCACAAACCCACAGAAAAUGUCUAUCUGGAUAAUGUUGAGCAGGCAUCUCGGGACACAAAGUUGACAGCAUCUAAAAUUGGGUUCAGG